UACGUAGGGGGCAAGCGUUGUCCGGAUUUAUUGGGCGUAAAGAGCGUGUAGGCGGCUUGGUAGGUCCGCUGUGAAAACUCGAGGCUCAACCUCGAGAUGUCGGCGGAAACCACUUGGCUAGAGUCCGGAAGAGGAGAGUGGAAUUCCUGGUGUAGCGGUGAAAUGCGUAGAUAUCUGGAGGAACACCGGUGGCGAAGGCGACAUCCUGGACCGGUAUUGACGCUGAGUGAGCGAAAGCCAGGGGAGCAAACGGG
Molecule: ribosomal RNA, 254 nt
Filed under: uncultured bacterium
Lineage: Bacteria
Description: partial 16S ribosomal RNA
Rfam family: Bacterial small subunit ribosomal RNA
Source: RNAcentral